This 472-nucleotide ribosomal RNA is filed under the name uncultured bacterium. RNAcentral describes it as "partial 16S ribosomal RNA". It matches the Rfam family "Bacterial small subunit ribosomal RNA", at positions 28 to 507 of the family's 1533-position model. The record is from RNAcentral.
GACGAACGCUGGCGGCGUGCUUAACACAUGCAAGUCGAACGCUGAAGCUUGGUGCUUGCACUGGGUGGAUGAGUGGCGAACGGGUGAGUAAUACGUGAGUAACCUGCCCUUGACUCUGGGAUAAGCCUGGGAAACUGGGUCUAAUACUGGAUAUGACAUGCCACUGCAUGGUGGUGUGUGGAAAGGGGUUUACUGGUUUUGGAUGGGCUCAAGGCCUAUCAGCUUGUUGGUGGGGUAAUGGCCUACCAAGGCGACGACGGGUAGCCGGCCUGAGAGGGUGACCGGGCACACUGGGACUGAGACACGGCCCAGACGCCUACGGGAGGCAGCAGUGGGGAAUAUUGCACAAUGGGCGGAAGCCUGAUGCAGCGACGCCGCGUGAGGGAUGACGGCCUUCGGGUUGUAAACCUCUUUCAGCACGGAAGAAGCGAGAGUGACGGUACGUGCAGAAGAAGCGCCGGCUAACUACGUG